This 497-nucleotide ribosomal RNA is filed under the name uncultured bacterium. RNAcentral describes it as "partial 16S ribosomal RNA". It matches the Rfam family "Bacterial small subunit ribosomal RNA", at positions 28 to 507 of the family's 1533-position model. The record is from RNAcentral.
GACGAACGCUGGCGGCGUGCCUAAUACAUGCAAGUAGAACGCUGAAGAGAGGAGCUUGCUCUUCUUGGAUGAGUUGCGAACGGGUGAGUAACGCGUAGGUAACCUGCCUUGUAGCGGGGGAUAACUAUUGGAAACGAUAGCUAAUACCGCAUAACAAUGGAUGACACAUGUCAUUUAUUUGAAAGGGGCAAUUGCUCCACUACAAGAUGGACCUGCGUUGUAUUAGCUAGUAGGUGAGGUAACGGCUCACCUAGGCGACGAUACAUAGCCGACCUGAGAGGGGGAUCGGCCACACUGGGACUGAGACACGGCCCAGACUCCUACGGGAGGCAGCAGUAGGGAAUCUUCGGCAAUGGGGGCAACCCUGACCGAGCAACGCCGCGUGAGUGAAGAAGGUUGUCGGAUCGUAAAGCUCUGUUGUAAGUCAAGAACGAGUGUGAGAGUGGAAAGUUCACACUGUGACGGUAGCUUACCAGAAAGGGACGGCUAACUACGUG